Triticum aestivum (bread wheat) is the source of this 135-nucleotide non-coding RNA. Lineage: Eukaryota; Viridiplantae; Streptophyta; Magnoliopsida; Poales; Poaceae. The record is from Rfam.
UAAAUACUCCCUCCCUCCCAAAAUUCUUGUCUUAGAUUUGUCCAAAUAUGGAUAUAUCAAGUCACGUUUUAAUAUUAGGUACAUCCGUAUCUAGACAAAUUUAAGAUAAAAUUUUUGGAACGGAGGGAGUAUAAG